RNAcentral lists this ribosomal RNA (493 nucleotides) under uncultured bacterium. RNAcentral describes it as "partial 16S ribosomal RNA". It matches the Rfam family "Bacterial small subunit ribosomal RNA", at positions 28 to 507 of the family's 1533-position model. The record is from RNAcentral.
GACGAACGCUGGCGGUGUGCUUAACACAUGCAAGUGGUGCGACGAACCAGAGCUUGCUCUGGGGCAAAGCCGCGAACGGGUGAGUAACACGUGGGUAAUCUACCCCGAUGACCGGGACAACCCGAGGAAACUCGGGCUAAUACCGGAUGUGGUGCGGAGACAUAAGUCUCUUCACUAAAGGUAGCUUCGGCUUCCGCAUUGGGAGGGGCCCGCGGCGCACUAGCUUGUUGGUGGGGUCAAGGCCUACCAAGGCAACGAUGGGUAGCUGGUCUGAGAGGACGAUCAGCCACACUGGGACUGAGACACGGCCCAGACUCCUACGGGAGGCAGCAGUGGGGAAUCUUGCGCAAUGCGCGAAAGCGUGACGCAGCAACACCGCGUGAGGGAAGAAGGCCUUAGGGUUGUAAACCUCUUUCAGAUGGGACGAAGGUUCUCCGGUGAAUAGCCGAGAGGAUUGACGGUACCGUCAGAAGAAGCUCCGGCUAACUACGUG